UACGUAGGGACCGAGCGUUGUCCGGAAUCAUUGGGCGUAAAGAGCGUGUAGGCGGCCACUUAAGUCCUGCGUGAAAUCUUGCGGCUCAACCGCAAGCGGUCGUGGGAAACUGGGCGGCUAGAGUGCGGGAGAGGAGAGUGGAAUUCCUGGUGUAGCGGUGGAAUGCGCAGAUAUCAGGAAGAACACCCGUGGCGAAGGCGGCUCUCUGGAACGCAACUGACGCUGAGACGCGAAAGCGUGGGGAGCAAACAGG
Molecule: ribosomal RNA, 253 nt
Filed under: uncultured bacterium
Lineage: Bacteria
Description: partial 16S ribosomal RNA
Rfam family: Bacterial small subunit ribosomal RNA
Source: RNAcentral